AACGAACGCUGGCGGCAUGCCUAACACAUGCAAGUCGAACGAGACCUUCGGGUCUAGUGGCGCACGGGUGCGUAACGCGUGGGAACCUGCCCUUAGGUUCGGAAUAACUCCCCGAAAGGGGUGCUAAUACCGGUUAAUGUCUUCGGACCAAAGAUUUAUCGCCUUUGGAUGGGCCCGCGUUGGAUUAGCUAGUUGGUAGGGUAAAAGCCUACCAAGGCGACGAUCCAUAGCUGGUCUGAGAGGAUGAUCAGCCACACUGGGAAUGAGACACGGCCCAGACUCCUACGGGAGGAAGCAGUGGGGAAUAUUGGACAAUGGGCGAAAGCCUGAUCCAGCAAUGCCGCGUGAGUGAUGAAGGCCUUAGGGUUGUAAAGCUCUUUUACCCGGGAUGAUAAUGACAGUACCGGGAGAAUAAGCUCCGGCUAACUCCGUG
RNAcentral lists this ribosomal RNA (433 nucleotides) under uncultured bacterium. RNAcentral describes it as "partial 16S ribosomal RNA". It matches the Rfam family "Bacterial small subunit ribosomal RNA", at positions 29 to 507 of the family's 1533-position model. The record is from RNAcentral.